CUUUGUUUAUUUGGAACUGGGUUUUCAAACCCUUGUUGGCAUUAGAAAUUUACUUUUAUGGACCAUCUGAUUUCAAGUGCUUCUUUUCGAUUCAAAUUUGUUUUGUAGUCCAUGGAGCAGAGAAGAGCAGCUACAGAGUUUGAAGUGUAAAUUUUUUAACUGUUCUAUCUGUUAUACUCAAAAUCAAAAUGGCGGUGGCUAAUUUACAAGGAUUCAUUUCAAUGUCUUCUCGGAUGCAACCAACUCGCCAUGACAUGUUUCCUUCAUCCCCAUUUGUUGGACAAAAAGGAGACAUUGGGUAUUCAUAUAGUUCUGUUUCUGAUGUUCAAUUAGGAAAGAUCAACUUCCCUAGGAAAAUGCAUGCUACUACCAGACGCUUCUUGACUACUUCUGUCCUUGCUGAUGUUACUAAAGAUUUCAUGAAUUUCCAAGCACCAAUGCUUGAAAAACCAGAAGCAGACCCAAAGAAUGUUGCCUCUAUUAUAUUAGGCGGUGGAGCGGGAACAAGACUUUUUCCUCUUACUAAUAGAAGGGCUAAACCAGCUGUGCCAAUAGGAGGAUGUUAUAGAUUGAUUGAUGUCCCAAUGAGCAAUUGCAUCAACAGUGGCAUUAACAAAAUAUACAUCCUCACACAGUUCAAUUCUCAAUCUCUCAACCGUCACAUUGCUAGAACAUAUAAUUCUGGGAAUGGUGUAAACUUUGGUGAAGGGUUUGUUGAGGUAUUAGCAGCUACUCAAACACCUGGCGAAUCUGGAAAGAAGUGGUUUCAGGGUACAGCAGAUGCUGUUAGACAAUUUAUCUGGUUGUUUGAGGAUGCAAAGCACAGACACAUUGAGAAUAUUUUGAUAUUAUCUGGUGAUCAUCUCUAUCGAAUGGAUUAUAUGGAUUUCGUGCAGAAGCACAUUGAUUCAGGUGCUGAUAUAUCUGUCUCUUGCCUCCCUAUUGAUGACAGUCGAGCCUCCGAUUAUGGGUUGAUAAAGAUUGAUGAGACAGGACAAAUCACACAAUUUCUUGAGAAGCCCAAGGGUGAAAAUUUGAAAUCCAUGAGAGUAGAUACAACUAUUCUAGGAUUAUCAGCUCCAGAUGCAAGGAAGUUCCCAUACAUUGCAUCAAUGGGUAUAUAUUUGUUCAAGACAGAUGUUCUACUAAAACUUCUGAGGUAGUUUAAGGCUGUCAUUUACAGUAUUACAGCAUAAAUAAAGUAAAAGGAAUGCAUUACGUCUUCCCCUUUUAUGUUGUCCUUGAUAGCAGAAAAAAAAAAAAAGGCAAAAUUCUUCCCAGUAUAAUAUCACAAAACCAUCCUAUCAUAUGAGCUUAUAGUACAAAGACUGUUCUGCGAUAAAUUAAAUUAGUCAAAUAGUUGGGUUAAGCAUCAUGCAGAAAAACUGCCUGAAUUAAACCAAUUGAGAUUUUUAUUAUUGUUUCAGGGUUUGUUGUUGAGCUUUCUCAAUUGUGAUUUGAAAUGCCUUCUUACACUAAUGGAUUGAUAAUCUUAUUCCUUACUUUAUUAGUGCAUUAUCAUUGAAGAGUUCACAUCUUUGUCAUGUCUGUAGUGCUACAGUACAUGUUAUACAACAUGAUUAUUACUUGGUACAUCAUUUGAACCCUGAAGGAGAGAGCAGCAUUUGUGGACUUGUGUCAACAUAAUCUGCAGUUUGAUGAAAUUAAUUUCCCUUCCCCCUUAAAUAUGAAAGAUGAUAUAAUUUAGUGAAUCUUUUUGUAAAUGAAGUGGUGCUUUUACUUUUUAACAAAAUGCCUCACAAAUAUCAAAGAAUAAUGUAAUGGUGAUUUGUGUGAUCUCCAAUAGAGUGACAUGGAAUAAUGUUUCUCUUUUCCUCCUAUACUUUUGUUUCUUUAGGUGGCAUUAUCCAACAGCCAAUGACUUUGGAUCAGAAAUUAUUCCAAUGGCUGCAAAAGAUUAUAAUGUUCGGGUAAAUUCUUUGAAAAUUGUUCUCAUUUUUUAGCUAGGCCUUGGAACUGAAUGCUGUAUUACUUGAAUUGACGAUAGUUUCUGACCAUUGGAAAGUUUGAUUUGAUAGACAAUUCAACUUAUUCUUCACAGAAUGUUAAUAUGAGAAUGCGGGUAAAUGGGUGCUGUGAACUAAUACUCUCAUUUUUACUUCGGAAACUGCUGAUAGGUGGCCAUUGUUCAUUUCUUGGCAGGCAUAUCUAUUCAAUGACUACUGGGAGGAUAUUGGAACUAUAAAAUCUUUCUUUGAUGCCAACUUGGCCCUAACAGAUCAGCCUCCCAAGUUUCACUUCUUUGAUCCGCUCAAGCCAAUCUUCACGUGCCCCCGGUUUUUACCACCAACUAAAAUAGAGAAGUGUCGGGUCAAGGAUUCCAUAAUUUCACAUGGUUGCUUUUUAAGGGAGUGCAGUGUUGAACAUUCCAUUGUAGGGAUUCGCUCAAGACUAGAAUAUGGGGUUGAGCUGAAGGAUGCCAUGAUGAUGGGUGCUGACUUUUACCAAACGGAGGCAGAGAGAGCAGCCUUUUUAGCUGAAGGAAAAGUUCCAAUAGGUGUUGGGAGAGAUACCAAAAUUAUGAAUUGCAUAAUUGACAAGAAUGCAAAAAUUGGGAAGAAUGUGAUCAUAGCAAACAAGGAU
This 2604-nucleotide unclassified non-coding RNA is filed under the name Hevea brasiliensis (rubber tree). The record is from RNAcentral. Lineage: Eukaryota; Viridiplantae; Streptophyta; Magnoliopsida; Malpighiales; Euphorbiaceae.